Molecule: long non-coding RNA, 973 nt
Organism: Canis lupus familiaris (dog)
Lineage: Eukaryota; Metazoa; Chordata; Mammalia; Carnivora; Canidae
Exons: 4
Source: RefSeq, a predicted model, not a curated record
CUGAAUGACUAUAAAUAUCUCCUGGGAUUUCUUGAGUGUGGUGCAUUCACGUAACUGGUCAUGUUCUUUGCUUACAGACUAUUUUAACAGAUGUUGAUUACUAUUCUGGACAUGCUGCCAAGAAUGUAGAUUUGAUGGCCAGAGUUCUUGCUGCCAGUUUGUACAAUUAGUAUGAAUUGGCUAUGUCAGAGAUGGCCAAGAGAGAUGCCUAAUAGAAACACAGUCCUCGAGGGCUUUGUUAAUGAGAGCUGCCAUAUCAGCCCUGAUCUGCCUCAAGACUUCCAUGACUCUCCUUGGCAGAGAAGGUUCAGCUUUGGAAAAUGGUUUUUGUUGGGUUUCUUCUGCAGCAUCAUAUUUACUGCCAAGUUGUGAGACUGAAUUAAAUUUCCACGAGGAUGUGUUUGGAUGCUGUAGUGGCCCAUCCUAGAGCUCAGAUCUUCUCACCACACUAUAAAUAUGAUGAGUUCCUUUCUGAUGACAAAUUGCAUCCAGUGACAUCACAAGAUUGUUAGGCUAUUUUCAAUCCCCCUUUGUGAUUUGACCAUUGUGAAAAAAGAAACUUCUAAACCCUGUGAAAUCAAAACUAUUUCUGGAUAUUCAGGGAGGUAAGACUGCUGAAUUUAGAACUCAGAUGACCAACAUCUUCAAAUCUUCAAAUUUGAGGGCAAGAGGGUAGAUCACAGUGUAUUUGUGACCCUUUUCUUCACGUCCUUUCGGAUACUACCCUUCCCUAGAAAUGGAGUUUACAUUGUUUUGGUGACUGUCAAGAACUGUGUCUGAAGAAGUUGUGAAAUAUACAUUUUCUUACUGAAGAGUAUCAUCAGCACAGAACUUUGUGAGAGUCUGCUGUUUGAGCUGGCCGUCAGAAAACAUGUUGCUCACUCCCCCAACACUAGGAGGCAUCACAGGUCAACCAUGUCUCUCAAGUACCUGCAAUUUGGACUAAGAUAUGUUGCCCUGAUAACAACGGAAG